This 465-nucleotide ribosomal RNA is filed under the name uncultured bacterium. RNAcentral's name for it is "partial 16S ribosomal RNA". It matches the Rfam family "Bacterial small subunit ribosomal RNA", at positions 28 to 507 of the family's 1533-position model. The record is from RNAcentral.
GACGAACGCUGGCGGCGUGCUUAACACAUGCAAGUCGAACGGAAAGGCCCCAGCUUGCUGGGGUACUCGAGUGGCGAACGGGUGAGUAACACGUGGGUGAUCUGCCCUGCACUCUGGGAUAAGCCUGGGAAACUGGGUCUAAUACCGGAUAGGACCGUGCUUUAGUGUGUGCGGUGGAAAGUUUUUCGGUGCAGGAUGAGCCCGCGGCCUAUCAGCUUGUUGGUGGGGUAAUGGCCUACCAAGGCGGCGACGGGUAGCCGGCCUGAGAGGGUGUACGGCCACAUUGGGACUGAGACACGGCCCAGACUCCUACGGGAGGCAGCAGUGGGGAAUAUUGCACAAUGGGCGCAAGCCUGAUGCAGCGACGCCGCGUGGGGGAUGACGGCCUUCGGGUUGUAAACCCCUUUCGGCAGGGACGAAGCUUUUGUGACGGUACCUGCAGAAGAAGCACCGGCUAACUACGUG